UUGACGGGGACCCGCACAAGCGGUGGAUGAUGUGGAAUAAUUCGAUGCAACGCGAAAAACCUUACCUACCCUUGACAUGUCUGGAAUGCCGAAGAGAUUUGGCAGUGCUCGCAAGAGAACCGGAACACAGGUGCUGCAUGGCUGUCGUCAGCUCGUGUCGUGAGAUGUUGGGUUAAGUCCCGCAACGAGCGCAACCCUUGUCAUUAGUUGCUACGAAAGGGCACUCUAAUGAGACUGCCGGUGACAAACCGGAGGAAGGUGGGGAUGACGUCAAGUCCUCAUGGCCCUUAUGGGUAGGGCUUCACACGUCAUACAAUGGUCGGGACAGAGGGUCGCCAACCCGCGAGGGGGAGCCAAUCCCAGAAACCCGAUCGUAGUCCGGAUCGCAGUCUGCAACUCGACUGCGUGAAGUCGGAAUCGCUAGUAAUCGCGGAUCAGCAUGUCGCGGUGAAUACGUUCCCGGGUCUUGUACACACCGCCCGUCACACCAUGGGAGUGGGUUUUACCAGAAGUAGUUAGCCUAACCGCAAGGGGGGCGAUUACCACGGUAGGAUUCAUGACU
RNAcentral lists this ribosomal RNA (562 nucleotides) under Achromobacter xylosoxidans. RNAcentral describes it as "bacterial SSU rRNA". It matches the Rfam family "Bacterial small subunit ribosomal RNA", at positions 910 to 1476 of the family's 1533-position model. Lineage: Bacteria; Pseudomonadati; Pseudomonadota; Betaproteobacteria; Burkholderiales; Alcaligenaceae. The record is from RNAcentral.